This 75-nucleotide transfer RNA is filed under the name Aeromonadaceae bacterium. RNAcentral's name for it is "tRNA-Arg". It matches the Rfam family "tRNA". From Rfam's summary of the family: Transfer RNA (tRNA) molecules are approximately 80 nucleotides in length. Their secondary structure includes four short double-helical elements and three loops (D, anti-codon, and T loops). Lineage: Bacteria; Pseudomonadati; Pseudomonadota; Gammaproteobacteria; Aeromonadales; Aeromonadaceae. The record is from RNAcentral.
GUCCUCAUAGUUAAAUGGAUAUAACGGGCCCCUCCUAAGGGCCAGUUCCAGGUUCGAUUCCUGGUGGGGGCGCCA